RNA transcript from Pomacea canaliculata, 1707 nucleotides. RefSeq lists it as uncharacterized. The record is from RefSeq and is a predicted model, not a curated record. NCBI's taxonomy places the organism in Eukaryota, Metazoa, Mollusca, Gastropoda, Architaenioglossa, Ampullariidae. The transcript is spliced from 8 exons.
GCGCACCAGAAGUUGACCCAGUUGAUCAACGGCGUGAAACCGAGUGAGGCGGGUCCUCACAGCACUGGCAGCCCUACUUCCCACCCUUUAUUCGCGAAUUUGACAAAUACUGGAAAAGUCGACUGCAAGCCGUUGAGUCUAGCCGUAGCUGGAGUAGUCAGGCCUUGCAUUCAUAAUCAGAUGUCGCCGAAGAAACGCGAACUUUCAGGCGCCAUUUUAAAGCGGAAGGCUCCGAUAGUUAAAGUAGAGAAGAAAGAAAAACAGCAGAAGACGUCGAAGUCAAAAACAUCUUCGAUCGCGAAAGCCAAACUUUCAGGUGCUAUUGUGAAAUACAAGGCUCAACGACAACAGUUUGAAAAUAAAAAUCAAACGCAUCAGGGUGGGGGAGGAAGGACUGGCUCCAAUUAAAUGGUGAAAAUCCGAUUCCGAUCAGGCGAUGACGAAAGUGUGAAUCACGAAAUACCAGUGUGUACUACACAAUUUGUGGAAAAUUCCUGGAAGUGUAUGCGGAAUCUUUAAAAAAAACCAACACCCCGGCACUAAUUAGCGACACUGAUGUGAGCAAGUCACGUGUGUGUUGAGAAGAGUCUAUUUAUAUCACUGAUAAAGUCUUUGAUAAGCUAUCCCACGGGUAUUUUUUUAAUCACAUUUUGGCUCGUCAUACGAGAUAAGCGUUUCAAGUGGAUGACAGGAUUUUUGUCAGAGGUAUUCCUGGAAAUAAAUUGGGAAGAAACCCUUAAACGUGACAUCUUUUAUUAACGAGAAGAUGAAAAUAUACCAUCAAUGCGAUUUGAGGCAAUGUUCGAUCCUGCCAGAUAUUGUACACUUCAUCGAACAUACAACAAUGAUUAGCAAUCUGCCGCCUGCUGUAUAAAAGACGAGGAGCACGCUGAUAUAGUGUUCACGUGCCAUCGUCUUCUGGUUCUUAGAGUUCAUCACUUGGUUUCUGCGCGUCACUGCAGGUGUACAAUUCGUAGCAACGAAAGCAAGGAGACAGACUCAAGAGACAAAUACAAUGGCAUCGAGACUGGUGGACUUCUAUCAUUACACUGACGAAAGCAGUGCACAGGAAAUUCAGAGAACUGGACAUAUUUGGCCCAGUCAAGCAAGCGGACCUGAUGCAGUGCUUGGAACUGGUGUGUAUGGGACAAAGGUGCCACCUCAUGCAGGUAAAGGGCAGAUUGCCCGCAACAACUGGGAUGGCACUGGCAACUGGCACGCCAGGCGAGCUGGAGGAAGUGUGGACUAUGUCUUCCAUCUCCGCAUUCCCCUGAAUAACUUGCGAGAAGUCAAGACGCACAACGGCCGCCAAAUGUAUUUGCACAGGAAUCCAAUAAGACUAGCAGAUUAUGACUACAAUAUUAUUGAAGUUCCAUAGUGAAAAGCGCAACUUUUGCCAGAACUAUGUGGCUUUAACUUAACUUUUCUUAAAACAGCGUCUUGACUCAUCUUUAUACUUGCUAAACCAUUUUUUUGCCUGCAUUCAUGGGAAGAGAAUCCAGUUGUUUUCUUAACUUUUGCUUCAAAGUUUAUUAUAUAGGUUUUUUUAAAAUUGUGUGCAAAUGUUUCAUUUCCUCCCCCCCCCCAAUUGUCUCAUGUGAGACUUUUUUUUUUAAUUUGACGUCUUCGAUCUUUCGUUAGUUGGCAUUUGCUGACCACUUUGGUUAGAAUUUGGUUAAAUUUGAUUAAAUAAAAUUAUUACUUUGA